UACGUAGGCAGCAAGCGUUGUUCGGAAUUACUGGGCGUAAAGCGCGUGUAGGCGGAUGGGCAAGUCUGCUGUGAAAGCUCCUGGCUUAACCGGGAGUGGUCGGUGGAAACUGCCAAUCUGGAGGACGGUAGAGGUAGGUAGAAUUCCCGGUGUAGUGGUGAAAUGCGUAGAGAUCGGGAGGAAUACCGAUGGCGAAGGCAGCCUCCUGGGCCAACACUGACGCUCAUGCACGAAAGCGUGGGGAGCAAACAGG
This 253-nucleotide ribosomal RNA is filed under the name uncultured bacterium. Its description in RNAcentral is "partial 16S ribosomal RNA". It matches the Rfam family "Bacterial small subunit ribosomal RNA", at positions 524 to 776 of the family's 1533-position model. The record is from RNAcentral.